UGAAAAAGCCAUGUCAUGUCUAAU
Molecule: non-coding RNA, 24 nt
Filed under: Rattus norvegicus (Norway rat)
Lineage: Eukaryota; Metazoa; Chordata; Mammalia; Rodentia; Muridae
Source: RNAcentral